GCGUAAAGGGCUCGCAGGCGGUUUCUUAAGUCUGAUGUGAAAGCCCCCGGCUCAACCGGGGAGGGUCAUUGGAAACUGGGAAACUUGAGUGCAGAAGAGGAGAGUGGAAUUCCACGUGUAGCGGUGAAAUGCGUAGAGAUGUGGAGGAACACCAGUGGCGAAGGCGACUCUCUGGUCUGUAACUGACGCUGAGGAGCGAAAGCGUGGGGAGCGAACAGGAUUAGAUACCCUGGUAGUCCACGCCGUAAACGAUGAGUGCUAAGUGUUAGGGGGUUUCCGCCCCUUAGUGCUGCAGCUAACGCAUUAAGCACUCCGCCUGGGGAGUACGGUCGCAAGACUGAAACUCAAAGGAAUUGACGGGGGCCCGCACAAGCGGUGGAGCAUGUGGUUUAAUUCGAAGCAACGCGAAGAACCUUACCAGGUCUUGACAUCCUCUGACAACCCUAGAGAUAGGGCUUUCCCUUCGGGGACAGAGUGACAGGUGGUGCAUGGUUGUCGUCAGCUCGUGUCGUGAGAUGUUGGGUUAAGUCCCGCAACGAGCGCAACCCUUGAUCUUAGUUGCCAGCAUUCAGUUGGGCACUCUAAGGUGACUGCCGGUGACAAACCGGAGGAAGGUGGGGAUGACGUCAAAUCAUCAUGCCCCUUAUGACCUGGGCUACACACGUGCUACAAUGGACAGAACAAAGGGCUGCAAGACCGCAGGGUUUAGCCAAUCCCAUAAAUCUGUUCUCAGUUCGGAUCGCAGUCUGCAACUCGACUGCGUGAAGCUGGAAUCGCUAGUAAUCGCGGAUCAGCAUGCCGCGGUGAA
Molecule: ribosomal RNA, 808 nt
Filed under: Bacillus pumilus
Lineage: Bacteria; Bacillati; Bacillota; Bacilli; Caryophanales; Bacillaceae
Description: bacterial SSU rRNA
Rfam family: Bacterial small subunit ribosomal RNA
Source: RNAcentral